RNAcentral lists this ribosomal RNA (433 nucleotides) under uncultured bacterium. RNAcentral describes it as "partial 16S ribosomal RNA". It matches the Rfam family "Bacterial small subunit ribosomal RNA", at positions 29 to 507 of the family's 1533-position model. The record is from RNAcentral.
AACGAACGCUGGCGGCAUGCCUAACACAUGCAAGUCGAACGAGACCUUCGGGUCUAGUGGCGCACGGGUGCGUAACGCGUGGGAAUCUACCCUCAGGUUCGGAAUAACUCAGAGAAAUUUGAGCUAAUACCGGAUGAUGACGUAAGUCCAAAGAUUUAUCGCCUGAGGAUGAGCCCGCGUAGGAUUAGGUAGUUGGUGAGGUAAAGGCUCACCAAGCCGACGAUCCUUAGCUGGUCUGAGAGGAUGAUCAGCGACACUGGGACUGAGACACGGCCCAGACUCCUACGGGAGGCAGCAGUGGGGAAUAUUGGACAAUGGGCGAAAGCCUGAUCCAGCAAUGCCGCGUGAGUGAUGAAGGCCUUAGGGUUGUAAAGCUCUUUUACCCGGGAUGAUAAUGACAGUACCGGGAGAAUAAGCCCCGGCUAACUCCGUG